UACGGAGGGUGCGAGCGUUAAUCGGAAUAACUGGGCGUAAAGCGCACGCAGGCGGUUUGUUAAGUCAGAUGUGAAAGCCCCGAGCUUAACCUGGGAACUGCAUCUGAUACUGGCAAGCUUGAGUCUUGUAGAGGGGGGUAGAAUUCCAUGUGUAGCGGUGAAAUGCGUAGAGAUGUGGAGGAAUACCGGUGGCGAAGGCGGCCCCCUGGACAAAGACUGACGCUCAGGUGCGAAAGCGUGGGGAGCAAACAGG
This 253-nucleotide ribosomal RNA is filed under the name uncultured bacterium. RNAcentral's name for it is "partial 16S ribosomal RNA". It matches the Rfam family "Bacterial small subunit ribosomal RNA", at positions 524 to 776 of the family's 1533-position model. The record is from RNAcentral.